Sarcophilus harrisii (Tasmanian devil) is the source of this 2366-nucleotide long non-coding RNA. Lineage: Eukaryota; Metazoa; Chordata; Mammalia; Dasyuromorphia; Dasyuridae. The record is from Ensembl.
UCCUGAAUUGAGGCGCGCGGAGCACGACGGAUAUUGUAGUCUUCUAGCCCUCGGCGCAGUCGUGGAAAACAAUGGAAUGCCGGGGAGGGCAAAAACUACAUAGAAGAUGGCGGCCAACGGGCCCGGCUGGGGACCUCCCUGCAAACCAAGGAUCACGGGAGUUGUAUUCCAACAGGCCCUGAGAAUUUCAUUGGGGAACAGAGAACGGGAACAAGAACAGGGACUACAAACAAGAUGGCAUCUUCCUCCGCCCUCCUCUUCGGGAUCUCAGCCUCUUUCCUUCUACAACCCUCUGCGCGUGUGGGACCCCACGGGACCCGGCCUUAGCCCGUCUACUUCCUUAUCUCCAGUUAUCUCCGUUAGGAACAAUGGAAAGGUAAGGAUAGAUAAGGACUACGUGCAAGAUGGCGGAAGAGCGACUAACUGGCUCGCCUGUCGCGCGGGGUGCGCUAGGAAUAGUAGUCCGGCAGCUUGCAACAAUACUUUAGGACAACGAACCCGGAAAAGGGAUAAGACUACAAUCAAGAUGGCGACCAAGAUUGACAUUCUCCUCGCUGCCGCUUUUUAGCUCAGUAUCUCACCCACCACCAAUAUCAAAAGCCAUCCGAUAGCGCAAGGCACUGUGGGAGUUGCAGUUUUCCAGACUCCACCUCUUUUCUCUUCAGCGGAGACAAUGGAAAAGGAAACGGGGCGGGGACUAUAGGCAAGAUGGCGGCAAAAGGAAAAAUGAAACGAGUAUUCCUGGGCUUUUUGGGAGUUGUAGUCUGCAGCCCAUGGCUACUCAUUUCAGACUUCUUAAAAAAGGACUCUAGUGAAGAUGGUGACAUAAGCAAUCUUUACCUGCGCUGUGUAUGCUGGGAGGCGUAGUAUCUUCCUUAGCCCAAGAAAGAAGAUAGGUCGGACAGUGGAAGAUUGCGUCAUGGUCAUGACGUAAAUGGAGAAAUCAACCUGGAUAAAAUAGAGAACCGGUCGCAUUCCACAGUUUGCUGGGAAAUGUAGUGGGGCUUCUAUUGGCGUCUUAGCGGAGGAUAAAGUCCCCACCAAGUGUGUAGAGAGAAAAGGCCCCCACAGGACACCCUGGGAUUUGUAGUUCUUGUGAUGAGGUGCUUUCCUUUAAAGGGGUCUCUUAAAGGCACAACUCGAGAUAUCGUCACCAUUUAAAUAGGACAAGCAGCCUACUUAAUAGUUCUUCCUGCUAGUCCCGAUCUUCUGAGACAACCAGAGGUACGAGAAAACCUCCAGAUGGUUGCCUCUCUCAGUGUCCUGUCAACCCCACCACCCCAGCUCCCCUGUGCUGCUGUGGGAGGGGCAGGCUCGGCUGGCUGUGUUCCGGGCCAAUGAAUUUCUGAGCCCGAGUGCUCUCUAAAACAGAAAGUUCUUCAUUAUAGCGGAGCAAAGUUGUCCACAUGCGCAACCUGUGGCCGGGAGAAGGUGAGCAAGCGCGAGGAUCAAGCAAACCUAGUGUCGAGGAAUGGCAGUAAUGACCUUUGCGUCUGAAAAGCUUGCUUUCUAAAAGGCUUUUCUCCUGUUCAGGGACAGGGCUUUGCAGGCACAGCUGGAAUAUGGACAGCGGAUCAUGCCGUGCUGUGUCCCCCCUGCCCCCCAUCUCUCCUCCUGCACGCACACACACACACACACACACACACACACACACACACACACCAUCAAUCGCUAGUGAUGUUUUGGCGCCAUCUUGAGGUUAAUAAAAACUUGAACAUUUGUAUGGGAGGGGAGCUUAAAAGGACACUCAGGGGAACAGUGUUUAUUCCCAGUCUCUGAAUGAUGCUUUGGGAAGAUUGGAGGAUGGGACAGGCAAUCCUUCUCCUUGAGAUGAAGAAGUAAGAGAAAAGCAGACAAUAUUAACAUUAGAGUGUAUCUAAUUUAUAUUUUAAUAUAUUUAACAUCUACUGUCAUCCUGCCAUCUGGGGGAGGGGGUGGGGGGGUAAGAGGUGAAAAAUUGGAACAAGAGGUUUGGCAAUUAUUAAUGCUGUAAAAUUACCCAUGCAUAUAUCCUGUAAAUAAAAGGCUAUUAAAUUAAAAAAAAAAUUAGAAAGAUCGAAUGCAAAAAUUUUCAUUACAGUUUUGAUUUGAAAUACAAAUUUUCAUUCUAUUCCUGUUAAUGUGUAUUUGUUUAACCUUAUGGAUUAAAAUAAAAUGGACUGCAUCAAUUGACACAGCAUGGUCCUUCAAGGUAUUGUUAAAUUUCUGCCUUUUUUGUGUUAAACACUAUCACUGAAAAGAAAAAAGGGAGUUUAUUAAAGCAACCACGGGGAGAGUUCUUUAGGCUGUCCCAUACAUUUCAUCAUAUGAUCAUGAUCAUGGGUUCACCAGUGUUUGAACUCCAGUUACCAAAUCAUCAAAGUGUC